Molecule: ribosomal RNA, 1122 nt
Filed under: Bacteroidota bacterium
Lineage: Bacteria; Pseudomonadati; Bacteroidota
Description: bacterial SSU rRNA
Rfam family: Bacterial small subunit ribosomal RNA
Source: RNAcentral
CUUGCGGCGGUCUACACAUGCAGUCGCGGGAGAGGAACCCUUCGGGGUUCUGGAGACCGGCGGAUGGGUGAGUAACGCGUAGGUAAUCUGCCUACAGGACGGGGAUAACCCACCGAAAGGUGAGCUAAUACCCGAUGAUGCAGCGGGGCCGCAUGGCCACAGUUGUUAAAUCCUUCGGGAGCCUGUAGAUGAACCUGCGUGCCAUUAGCUAGUUGGUAGGGUCAAAGCCUACCAAGGCAAUGAUGGCUAGGGGGUCUGAGAGGAUGAUCCCCCACACUGGGACUGAGACACGGCCCAGACUCCUACGGGAGGCAGCAGUGAGGAAUCUUGCGCAAUGGGGGCAACCCUGACGCAGCCACGCCGCGUGCUGGAAGACGGCCCUAUGGGUUGUAAACAGCUUUUACUGGGGAAGAACCUGGACCUUUCGAGGACCACUGACGGUACCCAGUGAAUAAGCACCGGCUAACUCCGUGCCAGCAGCCGCGGUAAUACGGAGGGUGCAAGCGUUGUCCGGAAUCAUUGGGUGUAAAGGGUGUGCAGGCGGAAGUCUAAGUCGGAGGUGAAAUCUUGCCGCUUAACGGUAAAAGGGCCUUCGAAACUGGAUUUCUUGAGUUCGGAAGAGGUUGGUGGAAUUCGUGGUGUAGCGGUGAAAUGCAUAGAUAUCACGAAGAACACCGGUGGCGAAAGCGGCCAACUGAUCCGAUACUGACGCUGAGACACGAGAGCGUGUGGAGCGAACAGGAUUAGAUACCCUGGUAGUCCACGCUGUAAACGAUGCAUGCUAGUUGUUGUCCCUUUGGGGGGCAGUGACGCAUUUAACGCAGUAAGCAUGCCACCUGGCGAGUACGUUCGCAAGAAUGAAACUCAAAGGAAUUGACGGGGGCCCGCAUAAGCGGUGGAGCAUGUGGCUUAUUUCGAUGCAACGCGAAGACCUUACCUAUGGCUAAAUCUCGGGCGACCGCCCUCGAAAGGGGGCUUCCCUUCGGGCCGCCCAGCGAAGUGCUAGCAUGCUGUCGAUCAGCAUACGUGCCGUGCAGGUGGCUAGGGAUCAGGUCCAGCACGAGCGCUAAGCACUGAUGACUAGUUACCAGCACGGUAGUGGGUGCGAUCUUCUAAGUUCAA